UGCGUAGGUGGUGAGGAAAGUUCGAUGUGAAAGCUCCGAGCUUAACUCGGAAAUGGCAUUGAAAACUACCUUACUAGAGGGUUGGAAGGGGGACUGGAAUUCUCGGUGUAGCAGUGAAAUGCGUAGAUAUCGAGAGGAACACCAGUGGCGAAGGCGAGUCCCUGGACAACUCCUGACACUGAGGCACGAAAGCUAGGGGAGCAAACA
This 207-nucleotide ribosomal RNA is filed under the name uncultured bacterium. RNAcentral describes it as "partial 16S ribosomal RNA". It matches the Rfam family "Bacterial small subunit ribosomal RNA", at positions 568 to 774 of the family's 1533-position model. The record is from RNAcentral.